Long non-coding RNA from Hipposideros armiger (great roundleaf bat), 346 nucleotides. RefSeq lists it as uncharacterized. Lineage: Eukaryota; Metazoa; Chordata; Mammalia; Chiroptera; Hipposideridae. The record is from RefSeq and is a predicted model, not a curated record. The transcript has 3 exons.
AAGGUCCACCCAGGCUUCCCGGACCCAAGACCCACUGUAGUGCAUGAAGGUACACCUGAGCCGCCCACCCAUGAAAUGAUCGUCACAGCUGCUGAAUUGGAAGUAAGUUCAUCAACCAUCCUGAGCCUUGGUUUCCUCAUCUAUAAAAUGGGGAUGAUACCAGUGCCUGCUUCUCUGGCCGCUGGGGGAGAUUAACUGAGAUGAUACAUGGAAAGUACUUUUGUGCAGAACCUUGCACAUAACGAGUCCUCCGUAAGUGGAGGAGUCUGCUUUCCCAGAACCACAUGGCUGUCCCAAAGGAAGAAACAGCGGGGAAAGGGGGACACAUAUGAGAAGACAACUAAGG